CGGGGGUUAGCGCAGUGGUAGCGCAUCUGUUUUGGGAGCAGAGGGUCGCGAGUUCGAAUCCCGCAUCCCCGACCA
RNAcentral lists this transfer RNA (75 nucleotides) under Fluviispira multicolorata. RNAcentral describes it as "Silvanigrellaceae bacterium 33A1-SZDP tRNA-Pro". It matches the Rfam family "tRNA". Rfam says of the family: Transfer RNA (tRNA) molecules are approximately 80 nucleotides in length. Lineage: Bacteria; Pseudomonadati; Bdellovibrionota; Oligoflexia; Silvanigrellales; Silvanigrellaceae. The record is from RNAcentral.